GACAGAGGGUGCAAACGUUGUUCGGAAUUACUGGGCGUAAAGCGCAUGUAGGCGGUUCGUUAAGUCAGAUGUGAAAGCCCUGGGCUUAACCCAGGAAGUGCAUUUGAAACUCACGAACUUGAGUCCCGGAGAGGAAGGCGGAAUUCUCGGUGUAGAGGUGAAAUGCGUAGAUAUCGGAAGGAACAUCAGUGGCGAAAGCGACUUCCUGGACCAAUACUGACGCUCAUGUGCGAAAGCGUGGGGAGCAAACAGG
This 253-nucleotide ribosomal RNA is filed under the name uncultured bacterium. RNAcentral's name for it is "partial 16S ribosomal RNA". It matches the Rfam family "Bacterial small subunit ribosomal RNA", at positions 524 to 776 of the family's 1533-position model. The record is from RNAcentral.